UACAGAGGGUGCGAGCGUUAAUCGGAAUUACUGGGCGUAAAGCGUGCGUAGACGGUUAUGUAAGUCAGGUGUGAAAGCCCCGGGCUCAACCUGGGAAUUGCAUUUGAGACUGCAUAGCUAGGGUGCGGAAGAGGGGAGCGGAAUUUCCGGUGUAGCGGUGAAAUGCGUAGAUAUCGGAAGGAACAUCAGUGGCGAAAGCGGCUUCCUGGUCCAGCACCGACGUUCAGGCACGAAAGCGUGGGGAGCAAACAGG
RNAcentral lists this ribosomal RNA (253 nucleotides) under uncultured bacterium. Its description in RNAcentral is "partial 16S ribosomal RNA". It matches the Rfam family "Bacterial small subunit ribosomal RNA", at positions 524 to 776 of the family's 1533-position model. The record is from RNAcentral.